CGGUGCAAGGCUGAUUUGGCCUUUUCCUUUAAGGUUGUGAAGUAGCAGCAGUAAAUGGAUACCCUCACUAAUGAUAAACUGAGCUCGACUUCAGCUGACACAACAUGCCUCCUAAAUUCGACUCCAACGAGAUUAAAAUUGACUCCCAAAAAGGUGGGUGAUGACAUUGCAAAGGUCACCAGUGACUGGAAGGGCCUGUGUAUCACUGUGAAGUUGACCAUUCAGAAUGGGCAAGCAGCUGUAAUCCCCUGAGAUUCAGUCUGUGUACCAGUUUGUGAGGUCCUCUACUCCCAAGAGAUGUUGACAAAUUUUGUAACUGUCCCAAAUUGAAGUUGUGCCAUCGCCCUCUGCUCUCAUCAAGGCCCUGAAAAAGCCUCCCUGUGACAGGAAGGUCAAGAACACACUCUGGGAGUGUUGCCUUCUGGGAUUGUCAACAUUGCCCAUGUCAUGAGACCAUGCUCUAUUGCCAGAGAGCUUUAUGGUACCAUUAAGGAGUCUUUGCACAGAUCAGUCUGUUGGAUGAACCAUUAACGUCAUAAACGACAUGAACAGCGGUAAAAUCAAGUGCUAAUCUGAAUAAUAUGCAACUAUUUCAGAUGGGGAAAAAAAUAAAGUGGUUCAUAAAAAUUUAA
This is a long non-coding RNA of Myxocyprinus asiaticus (Chinese sucker), 632 nucleotides long. RefSeq lists it as uncharacterized. The transcript has 5 exons. Lineage: Eukaryota; Metazoa; Chordata; Actinopteri; Cypriniformes; Catostomidae. The record is from RefSeq and is a predicted model, not a curated record.